GGGCCUACGGGAGGCAGCAGUGAGGAAUAUUGGUCAAUGGACGCAAGUCUGAACCAGCCAUGCCGCGUGCAGGAAGACGGCUCUAUGAGUUGUAAACUGCUUUUGUACGAGGGUAAACGCAGAUACGUGUAUCUGUCUGAAAGUAUCGUACGAAUAAGGAUCGGCUAACUCCGUGCCAGCAGCCGCGGUAAUACGGAGGAUUCAAGCGUUAUCCGGAUUUAUUGGGUUUAAAGGGUGCGUAGGCGGUUUUUUAAGUUAGUGGUUAAACGUCGGGGCUUCACCUUGAUUUGCCAUUAAUACUGUAA
Molecule: ribosomal RNA, 305 nt
Filed under: uncultured bacterium
Lineage: Bacteria
Description: bacterial SSU rRNA
Rfam family: Bacterial small subunit ribosomal RNA
Source: RNAcentral